CAUGUYUUAUUGAAUAUAAUUUUAAGUYUGAUYUGCUCCAUGAUUUUAAAUUAAAUAGCUGCAGAAUUUUAACUGUACAAAGGUAGCAUAAUCAAUAGUUUUUUAAUUUAAAGCUUGUAUGAAAGAUUUGAUAAAGUAAAUUUUGUCUCAAUAUUAAUGAAAUUAUAAUUUUUUUUUUAGUUAAAAAGCUAAAUUAAAUUUAAAAGACGAGAAGACCCUAUAGAAUUUUAUAAUUAUUUUAUUAAAAAUAUAAAAUAUGAAUUUUUUUUUUAAUUAAAUUAAUUAUUGGAUUGGGGAAAUUAUUAAAUUUAUAAAAUUUUAAUAUAUAAUAUAACUAUAAUUAUAGAUUAUUUGAUUUUGAUUUUUUAAAUUAAUAGAAUAAAUUACCUUAGGGAUAACAGCGUAAUUUUUUUGGAUAGACCUAAUUGAUAAAAAAGUUUGCGACCUCGAUGUUGAAUUAAGAUAAAAUAUUAAUGUAGAAGUUAAUUAAUUUUGGUCUGUUCRACCAUUAAAAUCUUACGUGAUCUGA
Molecule: ribosomal RNA, 529 nt
Filed under: Polycyrtidea pusilla
Lineage: Eukaryota; Metazoa; Arthropoda; Insecta; Hymenoptera; Ichneumonidae
Description: partial 16S large subunit ribosomal RNA
Source: RNAcentral